UGGUUGGCCAUGUGUACCUUGAAAAUUA
This 28-nucleotide non-coding RNA is filed under the name Mus musculus (house mouse). Lineage: Eukaryota; Metazoa; Chordata; Mammalia; Rodentia; Muridae. The record is from RNAcentral.